UACGUAGGGACCGAGCGUUGUCCGGAAUCAUUGGGCGUAAAGAGCGUGUAGGCGGCCAAUUAAGUCCUGCGUGAAAUCUCGGGGCUCAACCCCGAGCGGUCGUGGGAAACUGGUUGGCUAGAGUGCGGGAGAGGAGAGUGGAAUUCAUGGUGUAGCGGUGAAAUGCGCAGAUAUCAGGAAGAACACCCGUGGCGAAGGCGGCUCUCUGGAACGCAACUGACGCUGAGACGCGAAAGCGUGGGGAGCAAACAGG
RNAcentral lists this ribosomal RNA (253 nucleotides) under uncultured bacterium. Its description in RNAcentral is "partial 16S ribosomal RNA". It matches the Rfam family "Bacterial small subunit ribosomal RNA", at positions 524 to 776 of the family's 1533-position model. The record is from RNAcentral.